CAAAAACAUCGCCUUUUGUCUAACUAUAAAAGGUCAAGCCUGCCCAGUGACAUUGUUCAACGGCCGCGGUAUUCUAACCGUGCGAAGGUAGCGUAAUCACUUGUUUUUUAAAUGAGGACUAGUAUGAAUGGCUUCACGAAGGCUAUACUGUCUCCCUUAUCCAAUCAGUUAAACUAAUCUUCCCGUGAAGAAGCGGGAAUAAACCUAUAAGACGAGAAGACCCUAUGGAGCUUUAAACACUUUUAAACAUUUGACAUUUAACAUUUCAACUUUCAGAAAACUUUACUAAACCAAUCGAUUUGUUUUAAGUUUUAGGUUGGGGUGACCACGGAGAACAACAAAACCUCCACGUAGAAAGAACCUUUCUCUAAGCAAAAAGCCACAUCUUUACGCAUCAAUAAUACUGACCUUAAUUGACCCAAUUCUUUGAUCAACGAACCAAGUUACCCUAGGGAUAACAGCGCAAUCCGCUUUAAGAGCUCUUAUCGACAAGCGGGCUUACGACCUCGAUGUUGGAUCAGGGGAUCCCAGUGGUGCAGCAGCUACUAAUGGUUCG
RNAcentral lists this ribosomal RNA (556 nucleotides) under Allobates granti group sp. ABGD cluster 16. RNAcentral's name for it is "partial large subunit ribosomal RNA". It matches the Rfam family "Bacterial large subunit ribosomal RNA", at positions 1808 to 2575 of the family's 2925-position model. The record is from RNAcentral. Lineage: Eukaryota; Metazoa; Chordata; Amphibia; Anura; Aromobatidae.